Long non-coding RNA from Phacochoerus africanus (Common warthog), 1638 nucleotides. RefSeq lists it as uncharacterized. The record is from RefSeq and is a predicted model, not a curated record. The transcript has 3 exons. NCBI's taxonomy places the organism in Eukaryota, Metazoa, Chordata, Mammalia, Artiodactyla, Suidae.
GGGAAGGAAGGAGGAGGCCAGUGGCCAGACAAAGGGGGGAGGGCACUGCUGGAAGAUCCCCAUGAGACAGGCCUGUGGGGCUGAGGGAUGCUGCGUGGAGAUGGUGGCCAGCACGGAGAGCCUGGGUUUCAUCCCUUUCAAGGUGGGCACUCCUUGCCCUGAGCUCCGUGGAGGAGGGAUCUGAAGAAAGCUGGCAGUGUGGACGUACCAACAGUACAGAUUCAAAUAACAUUCCAACAAAAGCCUGCAUUCUCUACGCAAAGGACCAGGACAGAGGCAGCCUACCAUCAUGAAGAGAGCCUGGACUCCCACCCCUGCCAGUAGGAAUGAGGACACCCUUCUUGGGUGUCAGUGGAGGCUGAGUGGGAACCUGGACAUCUACAUCCACCUGACAAUAAUGAGGCAGUGCACCCCUUCUCUUCCCAUAGAGGGAUCUGAGAAAGCCAACCAAGACUAAAGGCUUAAAUAAGAUCAAAAGUCUCAUAACAUAACAUUGAAAAUGACUGCUUUCAAUCGACCAGCACUUAUUAUAUGAAUAACCAGGAAGAUCACAAAUGGAAUGUGAAAAGAAGAUUAAGAGAUGCCAACAUUGAGAUAGCAACACCUGAGGAAUUCUUGUACUUCCUCAUCUGGCUGUUCAAUGUGGAUCUUUUAUAAUAAACUAUAAUAGUACAUAUAGCAUUUUCUUGUAUCCUAUGAGCCAUUCUAGUAAAUUAUCAAGGCCACUGGGGGUUGUGAGAAUUCCCAGGUUUAUAGCUGGCUAGGGAGGAGUGUGAGUAGCCUGGGUACCCCAUUUGUAGCCGGCAUCUAAAGUGGGGCAGUCUUGAGAGACUGAGUCUUUAACUUGUGGGAUCUGAUGCUAACUCCAGGGAGGAUAGUGUCAAAACUGGAGAAGUGACAGGUGCUGGAAAAGACACCAUAUCUUUGGUGCACCAAUUACAUGAAAAAGCUUCCCUAAGCUUCUAUUCCAAGAAACUGAUUCCUCCACAUCUCCAUAAACAAGUUGCAUCUUCAAGGACCCCACUAAAAUAAUUCACUGGGGAUACACUAUCAGUACAGAGUUCUUAAAACAAGCCUGUGAAGUAGGCAAAACUGCUGGUCAGGGUCCUUCUAUAAGCAGAUAGGAGAAAGAAAACCCAGGCAUGGCUUUCUUGACAUCAGAGAAGUUUGACCUAAGCCAUUUUGUGAUCUGAGCCUGGCCACAAUGCUUGCCCUUGAAGAGGUCUCAGUAAUAACGAUCUUAAGGGAACAAAAGAACAAACUGUUAUCAGGCAAGAGAAGAACCAGUAACAAUAGCAAAGAUAACAAAUCAGUUGUAAAGACUCCCAGUUUUGUUUCCAUGGUAAAGAUGGGUCUGAAGGACUUUCUUGAGCUGCUCCACAGAAUUUAAAUCCCCUUCAGUUACUCAACCAUCAGAACAACCGGAACCUAAGGGAAGAGGAUGUUGCCCUAUUCGAAGUCCAGUGAGAAUCAGCUAAAGCUUGGAUUCUCUCCGCUAUCGAAGCCUCUUCAUGAAUAUGCAUGUGCCCUUAGCUCAAAACUUUCCUAACUUUGCUGUUAACAGAGACACUGCUUUGGGUAAGAUCCCUGGUGUUCUUUUUAUUUGUUGCAAGAAAGAAAUCCUUCCUUCUCCUGAUC